UAGCUAGUUGGUGGGGUAAGGGCCUACCAAGGCGACGAUCGGUAGCUGGUCUGAGAGGAUGACCAGCCACACUGGAACUGAGACACGGUCCAGACUCCUACGGGAGGCAGCAGUGGGGAAUAUUGGACAAUGGGGGCAACCCUGAUCCAGCAAUGCCGCGUGUGUGAAGAAGGCCUGAGGGUUGUAAAGCACUUUCAGUGGGGAGGAGGGUUGACAGGUUAAGAGCUAAUUAACUGGACGUUACCCACAGAAGAAGCACCGGCUAACUCCGUGCCAGCAGCCGCGGUAAUACGGAGGGUGCGAGCGUUAAUCGGAAUUACUGGGCGUAAAGGGUGCGUAGGUGGUUGAUUAAGUUAUCUGUGAAAUUCCUGGGCUUAACCUGGGACGGUCAGAUAAUACUGGUUGACUCGAGUAUGGGAGAGGGUAGUGGAAUUUCCGGUGUAGCGGUGAAAUGCGUAGAGAUCGGAAGGAACACCAGUGGCGAAGGCGGCUACCUGGCCUAAUACUGACACUGAGGCACGAAAGCGUGGGGAGCAAACAGGAUUAGAUACCCUGGUGGUCCACGCUGUAAACGAUGUCAACUAGCUGUUGGUUAUAUGAAAAUAAUUAGUGGCGC
RNAcentral lists this ribosomal RNA (616 nucleotides) under uncultured Legionella sp. Its description in RNAcentral is "bacterial SSU rRNA". It matches the Rfam family "Bacterial small subunit ribosomal RNA", at positions 242 to 849 of the family's 1533-position model. Lineage: Bacteria; Pseudomonadati; Pseudomonadota; Gammaproteobacteria; Legionellales; Legionellaceae. The record is from RNAcentral.